GUCUGUGGCCAUAAUACCCUGAAUGCACUCAAUCUCAUCUGAUCUUAGAAACUGAGCAGGGUUAGGCCUGGUUACUAUGUGGAUGGGAGACCUGAGAGACUGCCUGGGAAUGCUGGGUGCUGUAGGCU
This 128-nucleotide ribosomal RNA is filed under the name Prolemur simus (greater bamboo lemur). The record is from RNAcentral. Lineage: Eukaryota; Metazoa; Chordata; Mammalia; Primates; Lemuridae.